This is a non-coding RNA of Cinara cedri, 610 nucleotides long. The record is from the annotation of a GenBank genome assembly. NCBI's taxonomy places the organism in Eukaryota, Metazoa, Arthropoda, Insecta, Hemiptera, Aphididae.
ACACACACACACACGCUAGAGCGAGCGCGACAAUAGCCGGACGAAGUACGAUUUUGUUUAUUACGUUCAGGAUUAUUGUUAUAAUAUUUUAGGCGAGCGCGGCGUGUGAUGUGCGCACGUAAUCGGGUGCGAAAAGAGCUGUCGCGAAUUCGCGUAGUAACGCGGCGGCCGAUAUUGUUUACAGGUAGGUUCGCGUCGCGCGCUACUCGAAAAACACACAAUAAACGAGAUAAAUUACGUUAUGUAUGGUUUAUUUAUAGACGAAUUUUUUUUUUUGCUCUCCUCGCUGGUGCGUGCGAUAGCCGACGACGGACGAGUAAACCGGGCAAUGUUAUUUACGCCGCUGCCAAUAACAGGUAGGUAGGUACGUGCGCGCGCGACUCGGAGCGGACUGAAACCGAAACCGGACGGGAACCCGCGUCUGUUCUUCCGGCGUCCACCGGGAACGAAAACGAUAAGCACUGAAACGCGCGGCGUCGGACACACGGGCACGCGAACGCCGACGGAGACGGACGGCUGCGGCGGUCUGGUGCGUACACACUCAAAACGCACACGCACGCCAACACCACUCACUCACAGGUUUUCGCGCGCGUACACACACACACACACA